CACGCUGUAAACUAUGUUGACUGGAUAUUGGAAGUUCGACCCUUUCAGUAUCGUAGCUAACGCGUUAAGUCAACCGCCUGGGGAGUACGGUCGCAAGACUAAAACUCAAAGGAAUUGACGGGGACCCGCACAAGCGGUGGAGCAUGUGGUUUAAUUCGACGAUAAGCGAGGAACCUUACCAAGGCUUGUAUCUGGGGAAGUUGCUAGAAAUAGCGAUGUGCCCGCAAGGGAACCCCAAGACAGGUGUUGCACGGCCGUCGUCAGCUCGUGUCGUGAGAUGUUCGGUUAAAUACCGGUAACGAGCGUAACCCGUAUGAUGUGUUACAUUUCUCACAUCAGACUGCCCGCUUUAAGUGG
Molecule: ribosomal RNA, 357 nt
Filed under: uncultured bacterium
Lineage: Bacteria
Description: bacterial SSU rRNA
Rfam family: Bacterial small subunit ribosomal RNA
Source: RNAcentral